GAUGAACGCUGGCGGCGUGCUUAACACAUGCAAGUCGAACGGUGAAGGAGGAGCUUGCUCUUCUGGAUCAGUGGCGAACGGGUGAGUAACACGUGAGCAAUCUGCCCUUGACUCUGGGAUAACAGUUGGAAACAGCUGCUAAUACCGGAUACGAGACGUGACCGCAUGGUCAACGUCUGGAAAGAACUUCGGUCAAGGAUGAGCUCACGGCCUAUCAGCUAGUUGGUGAGGUAAUGGCUCACCAAGGCGACGACGGGUAGCCGGCCUGAGAGGGUGGACGGCCACACUGGGACUGAGACACGGCCCAGACUCCGUACGGGGGCAGCAGGUAGGGAAUCUUCGGCAAGUGGGCGGAAGCCUGACCGAGCGACGCCGCGUGAGGGAACGAAGGCCGUUCGGGUUAGUAAACCUCUGUCUGGGGGGACGAGAACGGACGGUACCCCCCGGAGGAAGCCCCGGCUAACUACGUG
RNAcentral lists this ribosomal RNA (470 nucleotides) under uncultured bacterium. Its description in RNAcentral is "bacterial SSU rRNA". It matches the Rfam family "Bacterial small subunit ribosomal RNA", at positions 28 to 507 of the family's 1533-position model. The record is from RNAcentral.